RNAcentral lists this non-coding RNA (188 nucleotides) under Aerococcus kribbianus. RNAcentral describes it as "6S RNA". It matches the Rfam family "6S / SsrS RNA". From Rfam's summary of the family: E. coli 6S RNA was the first non coding RNA to be sequenced, but its function was unknown until recently. Lineage: Bacteria; Bacillati; Bacillota; Bacilli; Lactobacillales; Aerococcaceae. The record is from RNAcentral.
AAGGAACUGUGAUGUACGUGCUUCUCUUAAUGUGUUGACCUUACAAAUCAUCUAUCUAAGGGAACCGUGAACUCAUGUGGAAACUACGCCUUUUCAUGAGGAAAGUUGAAGCAUGAUAAUGGUGCCCACCUGUAAUUAACAUACGGGUUCAAUACAGAUAGACUAUACACGGCAUUAACGGUCUUCUU